Molecule: ribosomal RNA, 427 nt
Filed under: uncultured bacterium
Lineage: Bacteria
Description: bacterial SSU rRNA
Rfam family: Bacterial small subunit ribosomal RNA
Source: RNAcentral
UGGGGAAUUUUGGACAAUGGACGCAAGUCUGAUCCAGCCAUGCCGCGUGCGGGAAGAAGGCCUUCGGGUUGUAAAGCUCUUUCAGGUGGAAAGAAAACGCAUAGGUUAAUACCUUGUGCGGAUGACGGUACCAUCAGAAGAAGCACCGGCUAACUACGUGCCAGCAGCCGCGGUAAUACGUAGGGUGCGAGCGUUAAUCGGAAUUACUGGGCGUAAAGCGUGCGCAGGCGGUUAUGUAAGACAGAUGUGAAAUCCCCGGGCUCAACCUGGGAACUGCGUUUGUGACUGCAUGGCUAGAGUACGGCAAAGGGAGGAGGGAUUCCGCGUGUAGCAGUGAAAUGCGUAGAUAUGCGGAGGAAAACCGAUGGCGAAGGCAGCCUCCUGGGCCAGUACUGACGCUCACGAACGAAAGCGUGGGGAGCAAACA